This 406-nucleotide ribosomal RNA is filed under the name uncultured bacterium. Its description in RNAcentral is "partial 16S ribosomal RNA". It matches the Rfam family "Bacterial small subunit ribosomal RNA", at positions 30 to 526 of the family's 1533-position model. The record is from RNAcentral.
AUUGAACGCUGGCGGCAGGCCUAACACAUGCAAGUCGAACGAGUGGCGGACGGGUGAGUAAUGUCUGGGAAACUGCCUGAUGGAGGGGGAUAACUACUGGAAACGGUAGCUAAUACCGCAUACCAUCAGAUGUGCCCAGAUGGGAGUAGCUAGUUGGUGGGGUAACGGCUCACCAAGGCGACGAUCCCUAGCUGGGCUGAGAGGAUGACCGUCCACACUGGCACUGAGACACGGUCCGGACUCCUAGGGUCGGAAGCAGUGGGGAAUAUUGCACAAUGGGCGCAAGCCUGAUUGAGCCAUGCCGCGUGUAUGAAGAAGGCCUUCGGGUUGUAAAGUACUUUCAGCGGGGAGGCGUUACCCGCAGAAGAAGCACCGGCUAACUCCGUGCCAGCAGCCGCGGUAAUUC